UACGUAGGGGGCCAGCGUUGUCCGGAAUCACUGGGCGUAAAGCGCGCGCAGGCGGUCAUCUACGUCUGGGGUGAAAGCCCGGAGCUCAACUCCGGGAUUGCCUUGGAUACGGGAUGACUUGAGGAUCGGAGAGGCAAGGGGAAUUCCACGUGUAGCGGUGAAAUGCGUAGAGAUGUGGAGGAACACCUGUGGCGAAGGCGCCUUGCUGGCCGAUUUCUGACGCUGAGGCGCGAAAGCGUGGGGAGCAAACAGG
Molecule: ribosomal RNA, 253 nt
Filed under: uncultured bacterium
Lineage: Bacteria
Description: partial 16S ribosomal RNA
Rfam family: Bacterial small subunit ribosomal RNA
Source: RNAcentral